This 259-nucleotide long non-coding RNA is filed under the name Lathyrus oleraceus (garden pea). RNAcentral's name for it is "Pisum sativum (pea) long non-coding RNA (PSAT_LNC015356)". The record is from RNAcentral. Lineage: Eukaryota; Viridiplantae; Streptophyta; Magnoliopsida; Fabales; Fabaceae.
CUAAUUAUCCUAAUCUUAAGUUUUUUAUUCUAAUUAUUUAUAAACCUAAAAUAUUCCUAAUCCUAUUUUAAUAGUAAAACAAAAUAAUAGGGAAAUAAAAAAAGAAAGGUUUAAGAAAAUAAAGGGGCUUAAAGCAUAAUCCAGAGUUAAAGGCCCAAAAAGAAUUUAUUGAAAAGUAUUUUUCAGCAAAGAAACAAAAAAAAACAAUAGGCCUAAGAAAAAAGCGAAUGAGCUCGAAUUAAAAUAAUGUGAGAAAAAA